AACGCACCUUGCGCUCCUGGGCUAUUCCUAGGAGCAUGCCUGUUUGAGUGUCGUGAAAUCAUCAACCCCAGUUGGAUUUGAAAUUUGACUGGUGGCUUGGACUUGGGGGUUUGCUGGCCGUUUUGAUUCGGUCUGCUCCCUUUAAAUGCAUUAGUGGGAUCUCUUGUGGACCGUCACUUGGUGUGAUAAUUAUCUAUGCCUUGAGACUUUGAAGCAAACUAAUGGGAACCUGCUUAUAACCGUCUUCGGACAAUCUCUGACAUUUUGACCUCAAAUCAGGUAGGACUACCCGCUGAACUUAA
This 302-nucleotide ribosomal RNA is filed under the name uncultured fungus. RNAcentral describes it as "eukaryotic LSU rRNA". The record is from RNAcentral. Lineage: Eukaryota; Fungi.